AGUUUCAGCUUCUUGCUUCAGCACUGUUCAAGUCUGGUUCAGAUUUCACCACUCUGGGAUUUUCGGACGUUGACCAUACCUAUGCGCAAAGAACUCAGCUCUUUGAUACGUUAGUAAAUUUCUUUCCUGACAACAUGACUCCUCCUAAAGGCAACCUGGUAGACCUCAUCACACUGUGACAGAAAAAUCACUGGACAUAUGAAAGAAGAAAAAAGCAUCCAUUUUCAGUAUUUUAAUUUUUUUUACUGCAUUGAUUGACUGCUGAGUGCAGUAAUGUAGUGACCCCUGGGUCUUUGAAUGGGGCUUUAUACUUUGUAUAAUGAAUACCUGAGGUUUUUCCCCUUGUUGAAUUAGGCUAAUAAAAUGUAACUGACAUAAA
This is a non-coding RNA of Chelonoidis abingdonii (Abingdon island giant tortoise), 379 nucleotides long. Lineage: Eukaryota; Metazoa; Chordata; Testudines; Testudinidae. The record is from RefSeq and is a predicted model, not a curated record.